RNAcentral lists this transfer RNA (72 nucleotides) under Sphaerodactylus townsendi. Its description in RNAcentral is "tRNA-Ala". It matches the Rfam family "tRNA". Rfam says of the family: Transfer RNA (tRNA) molecules are approximately 80 nucleotides in length. The record is from RNAcentral. Lineage: Eukaryota; Metazoa; Chordata; Lepidosauria; Squamata; Sphaerodactylidae.
AGAGCUGUGGCUCAAUAGUAGAGCAUCUACUUGGCAUUUAGAAGAUCUCUGGUUCAAUUCCAGAUUGCCUGU